UACGGAGGGUGCAAGCGUUGCUCGGAAUUAUUGGGCGUAAAGGGUAGGUAGGUGGUCUCAUUUGUCUGUGGUGAAAGCCUUGGGCUUAACUCAAGAAGUGCCGCAGAAACGGUGAGACUAGAGUUCUGGAGAGGGUCGUGGAAUUCCCGGUGUAGCGGUGAAAUGCGUAGAGAUCGGGAGGAACACCAGAGGCGAAGGCGGCGACCUGGACAGAUACUGACACUCAACUACGAAAGCGUGGGGAGCAAACAGG
RNAcentral lists this ribosomal RNA (253 nucleotides) under uncultured bacterium. RNAcentral's name for it is "partial 16S ribosomal RNA". It matches the Rfam family "Bacterial small subunit ribosomal RNA", at positions 524 to 776 of the family's 1533-position model. The record is from RNAcentral.